This 214-nucleotide small RNA is filed under the name Pelotomaculum thermopropionicum. RNAcentral describes it as "c-di-AMP sequence". It matches the Rfam family "c-di-AMP riboswitch aptamer (ydaO/yuaA leader)". Rfam says of the family: This family represents a conserved RNA structure found upstream of the ydaO and yuaA genes in Bacillus subtilis and related genes in other bacteria. The ydaO/yuaA element is thought to act as a genetic "off" switch for the ydaO and yuaA genes in its native state. It is believed that the element may be triggered during osmotic shock leading to activation of ydaO, a predicted amino acid transporter gene, and members of the yuaA-yubG operon which code for KtrA and KtrB K+ transporters. Lineage: Bacteria; Bacillati; Bacillota; Clostridia; Eubacteriales; Desulfotomaculaceae. RNAcentral also lists the same sequence under 1 other name. The record is from RNAcentral.
GUCCUUAAAAAGCCGAAUCCCCAAAGCUGCUUUGGGGUACGGAGGAACCAUUUUUUGGGGUGAAUCGAAUUCAGAAGUCAGAGGUUAGGAGUUAGAAUUCCAUGGAAUUCAAAGCCGAAUUCCGGCAACUAAUUCGAUGACCGGCUACUGAAAUCGUAGGGUUAUCUUUUACCGAACCCGUCAGCUAACUCCGGAGGCGUAAAAGAAAGGGGAA